This 497-nucleotide ribosomal RNA is filed under the name uncultured bacterium. RNAcentral's name for it is "partial 16S ribosomal RNA". It matches the Rfam family "Bacterial small subunit ribosomal RNA", at positions 28 to 507 of the family's 1533-position model. The record is from RNAcentral.
GAUGAACGCUGGCGGCGUGCCUAAUACAUGCAAGUCGAGCGAACGGACGAGAAGCUUGCUUCUCGGAUGUUAGCGGCGGACGGGUGAGUAACACGUGUAAAACCUACCUAUAAGACUGGUAUAACUUCGGGAAACCGGAGCUAAUACCGGAUGAGAUUUUGAACCGCAGGGUGCAAAAGUGAAAGACGGUCGUGCUGGCACUUAUAGAUGGAUCCGCGCUGCAUUAGAUAGUUGGUAAGGUAACGGCUUACCAAGGCAACGAUGCAUAGCCGACCUGAGAGGGUGAUCGGCCACACUGGAACUGAGACACGGUCCAGACUCCUACGGGAGGCAGCAGUAGGGAAUCUUCCGCAAUGGGCGAAAGCAUGACGGAGCAACGCCGCGUGAGUGAUGACGGUCUUCGGAUCGUAAAACUCUGUUAUUAGGGAAGAACAUAUGUGUACGUAACUGUGCACAUCUUGACGGUAACUAAUCAGAAAGCCACGGCUAACUACGUG